UUAAAACUUUCAACAACGGAUCUCUUGGCUCUGGCAUCGAUGAAGAACGCAGCGAAAUGCGAUAAGUAAUGUGAAUUGCAGAAUUCAGUGAAUCAUCGAAUCUUUGAACGCACAUUGCGCCCGCCAGUAUUCUGGCGGGCAUGCCUGUUCGAGCGUCAUU
This 160-nucleotide ribosomal RNA is filed under the name Fusarium sp. IBL 03122. Its description in RNAcentral is "5.8S ribosomal RNA". It matches the Rfam family "5.8S ribosomal RNA". Rfam says of the family: 5.8S ribosomal RNA (5.8S rRNA) is a component of the large subunit of the eukaryotic ribosome. It is transcribed by RNA polymerase I as part of the 45S precursor that also contains 18S and 28S rRNA. Lineage: Eukaryota; Fungi; Ascomycota; Sordariomycetes; Hypocreales; Nectriaceae. The record is from RNAcentral.